Molecule: ribosomal RNA, 800 nt
Filed under: Pseudomonas sp.
Lineage: Bacteria; Pseudomonadati; Pseudomonadota; Gammaproteobacteria; Pseudomonadales; Pseudomonadaceae
Description: bacterial SSU rRNA
Rfam family: Bacterial small subunit ribosomal RNA
Source: RNAcentral
ACACAUGCAAGUCGAGCGGAUGAAGGGAGCUUGCUCCUGGAUUCAGCGGCGGACGGGUGAGUAAUGCCUAGGAAUCUGCCUGGUAGUGGGGGAUAACGUUCCGAAAGGAACGCUAAUACCGCAUACGUCCUACGGGAGAAAGCAGGGGACCUUCGGGCCUUGCGCUAUCAGAUGAGCCUAGGUCGGAUUAGCUAGUUGGUGAGGUAAUGGCUCACCAAGGCGACGAUCCGUAACUGGUCUGAGAGGAUGAUCAGUCACACUGGAACUGAGACACGGUCCAGACUCCUACGGGAGGCAGCAGUGGGGAAUAUUGGACAAUGGGCGAAAGCCUGAUCCAGCCAUGCCGCGUGUGUGAAGAAGGUCUUCGGAUUGUAAAGCACUUUAAGUUGGGAGGAAGGGCUGUAGGCUAAUAUCCUGCGGUUUUGACGUUACCAACAGAAUAAGCACCGGCUAACUUCGUGCCAGCAGCCGCGGUAAUACGAAGGGUGCAAGCGUUAAUCGGAAUUACUGGGCGUAAAGCGCGCGUAGGUGGUUCGUUAAGUUGGAUGUGAAAGCCCCGGGCUCAACCUGGGAACUGCAUCCAAAACUGGCGAGCUAGAGUACGGUAGAGGGUAGUGGAAUUUCCUGUGUAGCGGUGAAAUGCGUAGAUAUAGGAAGGAACACCAGUGGCGAAGGCGACUACCUGGACUGAUACUGACACUGAGGUGCGAAAGCGUGGGGAGCAAACAGGAUUAGAUACCCUGGUAGUCCACGCCGUAAACGAUGUCAACUAGCCGUUGGAAUCCUUGAGAUUUUAGUGG